UACGGAGGGUGCGAGCGUUGUCCGGAAUCACUGGGCGUAAAGGGCGCGUAGGCGGCCUGAUAAGUAGGGGGUGAAAUCCUGCGGCUUAACCGCAGGGCUGCCUUCUAAACUGUCGGGCUAGAGCACGGUAGAGGCAGAUGGAAUUCCCGGUGUAGCGGUGGAAUGCGUAGAGAUCGGGAAGAACAUCAGUGGCGAAGUCGGUCUGCUGGGCCGUUGCUGACGCUGAGGCGCGACAGCGUGGGGAGCAAACAGG
This 253-nucleotide ribosomal RNA is filed under the name uncultured bacterium. RNAcentral's name for it is "partial 16S ribosomal RNA". It matches the Rfam family "Bacterial small subunit ribosomal RNA", at positions 524 to 776 of the family's 1533-position model. The record is from RNAcentral.